UAGGAGAUUUCAAUAUGUAAACAAUGCCAUAUUUAAUACUAUAUGAAAGUACUCUGGAUAGAUAAAUGCAUUUCACAUAUGCAGAUAUAUUAGUCAUUCGUAUUGUGUCGAAAUAUAUAACCUCGUAAUAUUGUUUGUAUGUUAGAGUAGAAACAUACUUCCAUUAUUAUUUUAAACAACUCAAGAUGGAUUUGGAAUAGCAGAAAUCAAAAUUAGAAAUUUCCUAAAAUUUGCAUAACGUUCUGAAAAUGCAUUGAUUGGUGAUGCUUUAACUUAAACUAAUCCUUACACAAACUUUUUGGUAUAAUAUUAUAAUAAUGAUGUAAAAAUAUAAUCAUAUAUAGACUGGAGGUAAUAGUUUUAAAAAAGUUAUUUGUAAUGCGUUUUACUGAGCGUAAUCAAAAGCGACAAACAUAUUUUAAUCUUUUUAGUGUAAUAGUAUAUGAUAAUCUGUUUCAAUAGUACACCCCCGCAAGCUACAAAGUUUCAUUAAUUAUUUUCUUUAGUAUAUACAAAGUUUCUAAGUUUUGACAGAAUUUUGGACAUAAAUGUUAAUUUAUUUUGAUAGAAAUUUAUACUACAUUUAGAGAAGAAAUCAAAAUUCUUUUUGAGAUAAUUUUUAGU
This 624-nucleotide long non-coding RNA is filed under the name Brassica napus (rape). RNAcentral's name for it is "long non-coding RNA (BNAP_LNC003558)". Lineage: Eukaryota; Viridiplantae; Streptophyta; Magnoliopsida; Brassicales; Brassicaceae. The record is from RNAcentral.